Molecule: ribosomal RNA, 271 nt
Filed under: uncultured bacterium
Lineage: Bacteria
Description: partial 16S ribosomal RNA
Rfam family: Bacterial small subunit ribosomal RNA
Source: RNAcentral
UUUAGAUGGCGACCGGCGCACGGGUGAGUAACACGUAUCCAACCUGCCGAUGACUCGGGGAUAGCCUUUCGAAAGAAAGAUUAAUACCCGAUGGCAUAGUUCUUCCGCAUGGUAGAACUAUUAAAGAAUUUCGGUCAUCGAUGGGGAUGCGUUCCAUUAGGUUGUUGGCAGGGUAACGGCCCACCAAGCCUUCGAUGGAUAGGGGUUCUGAGAGGAAGGUCCCCCACAUUGGAACUGAGACACGGUCCAAACUCCUACGGGAGGCAGCAUG